ACUGACGUGUAUAGUAUAACUGGACUGCGGAUGUUCGAUGUGUUGUGAAGCAACGGCUGGGGGCGGGACAUGGGACGAUUUUUGGGCGGAAGAAGGAAGUAGAGCGCCUUUUUCCAUUGAUCUCUAUGGUGGACUUGAAGCCAUAUAGUUCCUAGGCAAUUCUUGCCGAGUCGGCCCUGUUUCGUUAAAACGGUAGUCUCCCCUCCCUCCCAAACAACCCAGAUAUUUUUUUCGGGCUGACCCUUUAUUUAAGAAAGCUAUUAAAAUAGUUUAAAUGACCAAUGAGCAUGGCUAUUUGGGUUGAUUGGCAGUUGCCAUUCUUUAGAAUUAUUGUUUUGAUUGACAGGCAGGCCGUUGUCAAGGAGAAGGGCGAGUCUCGCGGCGUCUCCAGGGGAAGCCCCCUCCCUCCCUGCUGCAUUACUUUCAACCAGCUCUGCUUUCAACAGCUUCAUUACUGCGAUGGGUUAUUUAAUUUUGGUACACUUUCCCCACAAAUAUGCGUUGUUGUACUUUUGGAUGUACUUCUCCGUACUCUGUAAGGACCUCUGCAGUUUUGGUAAGUAAAAUAAAAACAUGUAUAUACGUGGCUGAUUGACCAAAAUGACUGAGCUUUGUUAAACAAACACGUACGACAAUGCUAGCUUGUUAUUAGCCCAAGACAGCAUGCUGAUCUUUCAGUGUUUGAUGAUCUGUCGGCUUGUCAAGUAACUUAAUUAUAAUUUGAAUGCCAUUGCUUUUGAAAGCAAAAUGUGUCUGUUUGGCGUGCGUCAGGUGUAAUUCCCUCCUUCCGUACCGUAGCCAAGUCCUUACAUCAAGAUGAGUAAACAUUUCACUACCAUUCUGGCACUAUGCUGGCCAGUGGCCACAUCGGAAAAGCAACGUAGUCUAGCUGUGUUCCUCCGUCAACUGUUAAAUAUUGUUUGUUUCUGUGUUGCCAAAUUGCUAGUUGGUGAUGAAAUGAUGGUCAUUGGUACGUUCGUUUUCAGUAUGCAAAUUGCGUCAUUAAUGUUGACUGUACUGAGUGACGAGUGCAUAGUGUAAUGCAAAUUGUGUCAUUAAUGUUUAAUUGUAGGCCUACUGACGAGUGCAUUGUGUAGUAAACAUUUCCCCAUCCUCAUGUGACAUGGUUUCAUUCUGUAGGCAAACAACAAACCACACUUCACCUGGAAAACAGAGCCAGGACUCACUGUCAGAUGUCUGAAAAUGUACAGUAGGCUACACGCCAGCAGGUCUCACCAUAGUCAACAUCAUCAAGGAUUGUCACUCUGACCUGAGAAGAGGCCCCAUAGAGACACGGACAAGGACCAGCCACUGUUGCCAGUGCACAACUGAGGACCCGACCAGCCUGCUGCCAUCUAUGAUACUAUAUAGUACCCGCGGAGCGGUCUGAAGACGUGGAGUACACUGCAGCAGGUAUCACAUGACCAAGGACUUGGACAACGUCUCUGUUUACAUCUAUAGUGUAUUACACAACUGAAGAUGUGCACAGUACCCUACUGCCUGCAUCCUACCACCACAGAGGAUCCGAUAUGCAGAACCAGCUUCAAAAACCAUUGCAAUUAUGAAACACAGUUAAUAAAUGCUUAUAUACAGCAGCCCGCACAUUUUGUUUAAUUUGUAAUAUUGGUUAACACACUAUUGUAACAACUGUUUAGAUCGGUGUUUCCCAACCAGGGGUACAUGUACCACUAGGGGUACGUGAACACAAUGCAGGUGGUACAUGCAUUGGCAGGUAUCAAUAAAAAGAAAUGUAUGGAGCAUAAUCAUAUUGGGAUAGAGCAGUGGUUCCUAACCUAUGGGUCGGGACCCAACUUAUGGGUCGCCAAAGAUCCACAGUGGGUCGCGAAGCCCUCUUGAUUUUAAGGGGUUUCGUUUUAAUACCAUAUAGCCCAUGUUGAAUAUAUGACAAAGUAAAGCUUUUAAACUGAUAUAUGCAUAGAGGCAACAAAAUGUAAGCGACACAUUAAACAGUCAUUCUAUAUUUGACUGAAGACAAAUUGAGGAAUACAAUUUUCUAAUGAGUUUCCGCAUGACUCCCUCUCGCCUGGGACUCCCUCUCGCGUGGGCGCUGGCAUGAUUGGGUCACCAAAGCUUACAAUGGUAAAAAUAUGGGUCCCUGAAGAAAAAGGUUGGGAACCACUGGGAUAGAGGAAG
This is a long non-coding RNA of Engraulis encrasicolus (European anchovy), 2154 nucleotides long. RefSeq lists it as uncharacterized. The transcript is spliced from 4 exons. The record is from RefSeq and is a predicted model, not a curated record. Lineage: Eukaryota; Metazoa; Chordata; Actinopteri; Clupeiformes; Engraulidae.